This 139-nucleotide ribosomal RNA is filed under the name Synechococcus sp. CB0104. Its description in RNAcentral is "partial 23S ribosomal RNA". It matches the Rfam family "Bacterial large subunit ribosomal RNA", at positions 1 to 139 of the family's 2925-position model. Lineage: Bacteria; Bacillati; Cyanobacteriota; Cyanophyceae; Synechococcales; Synechococcaceae. The record is from RNAcentral.
GGUCAAGCUACAAAGGGCUCACGGUGGAUACCUUGGCACACAGAGGCGAUGAAGGACGUAGUUACCUGCGAUAAGUCUCGGGGAGCUGGAAACACGCAUUGAUCCGGGAAUUUCCGAAUGGGGCAACCCCUAGAACGGC